Molecule: long non-coding RNA, 2317 nt
Filed under: Homo sapiens (human)
Lineage: Eukaryota; Metazoa; Chordata; Mammalia; Primates; Hominidae
Description: non-protein coding lnc-TMCO5A-3:1
Source: RNAcentral
GCAGAUCUUUGUUUGGAAUUCUCCAAUUUAUUUGGAAAGCUCUCAUACACAUACUGCUGAUGAGUAUCUCACUUCACUGCAUUCUCCAACAGGUUUCUUUCUCUCUCUCCCUUCUUCCAUAGCAGUAAUAACCAUGACGUCCCAUGAGAUCAAGCAAGUGUUUGCACAAGAAAACAGAGGCAGCUAGUUUAAAAUGCAUCCUUGAGUUAGCUCUUUCUCUUUUCCUGCUUCACUCUCCUGAUGCCUCGUCUAAAAGUUGGUAAAUACUUCUAAUAUCACUUCUGACUAUUCCUGGAGAAAAUGUAGGGGUGUCUAUGGUGAGUUCAGGGAUUUCAGGACUGAUUAAGGAAAAGACAGAACUACAAGAUGUCAGUACUGAACAGUAAGUUUUAUUGGCCAGUAUUGGGACACAGUCGCAUGAGAGAAGAAGCUCCUUUUCCUUCCAGGAUGAGUAGAAGACCUGACAGAAAUAGCAGCAUGGGAUUAACACCCAGAAGGCAAAAGAGGGCAAGAGAACUUCCAGGGGAGCAAGGAAUCAGAGAUGGGGCUUAUGUGUCUAGCAGUCGCUGGGCUAGAGACCUAUGAAAAGCAGCCGUGAUUUGAGGUCAUUUAUAGCUAUAACGGUUAUCUUAUCUAUGGAUGGCAGGUAUUAGGUAUAGUUUUGUGGUGUAGGUAAAGAAGACAGACUCUAAAUGGCUUAAAACAUGCUUAUUUGGAAUAUAUUUAAAGCAACUGGGUAUGUAAGGAUUGAGUUUGGCACCAUGGGGUUUAAGCUAAUAGUCCUCGCCUGCUGUGAAGAAGUAACAACCUAGGAGCUAUAUACAGAGCCCACCUUUAGUCCAUUUGUAUAUCAAUGUCCUGUGAAACUUAGAAAAGAGAGAGAGAGAUCCAUUCCUGACUCUACAAAGGAAGACAGGGUUUCUCUACAAGCUAGAAGAGAUAAGCCCUUGUGACCACGUGGAGAUAGUGAGGGACUUCUGAUGGCUACAGUGGAGGAAAUUCAGGCUCUUUGGAUUCUCCCAUGCCUGUAUGAAAUUUACUGCUCCUACGGUCAGCUUUAACUAGGAAGCCCUGUUUAUAUCCCAGUUUGGGCGAGCACUUCAGAACAAGAACCACUCCUUUCUUGCACACCACGAAUCCCAGAUCAAUACCAGAGGACAAGUGUAAACUGUGCAUUGCAAAAGCAUCUCAGAUGCAGCUUUCUUCCUUCUCACAAGUACCUCCUCAAAUCAAAGUUGUCUUAAUCCAACUAAUCAUGGCUCCACUUAAAAUACACCAUUUUAUUGAAAUCAUGGAUAUCACACACACAUAACAUACACACACACAUGCACACACGCACAGGUUUCCUGCUCUCAUCCACCACCCUCAUUUUAAAUCCAGAACACAUGGAAAAGCCACAGUCUACACAACAGGACUGGGCAGGUUUUCUUCUGGUGAGUCCUGUGGAUUUCAGGUUUACAUCUAGCAAGCUUCACAUGCUAGGGGAAGUCAUUCGGACAAUAGCCUGUCACAUUUACACCACUAGAGCUCAUCAACUUGAACAUGAGUUUCUGAGCCAGGGAAUUUAUCUGCUCCAGCAUCUUCCUUCCCUAUACACUUUCCGCCCAUUCAUCCCUGAAUCCUAGCACUCCCUGCUGUACCCAGCCUGGAAGAGAACAUUUUUGUACACUAUAGCUCUAGGUUCUGUCCUAGUGAUUAGAGAGGGGAAGCCAGAACAUUUGUUGUGGGACAUACUGUGCUUUUGAUUUAGUGGAAAUGUAUUGGUAUGUUCACAACAGAACCUUCCUUCUUUUGAAAAAUUAGCCACAGGAAUCCUUUGUUUCAUGAGCCAAUAAAUUCCCAUUUGUUUAAAUUAGUUUGGGUUGUGUUUCUGUUACUCGCAACUAAGAAUCCUGACUAAUUUCCUCAGCAACAGAGAGGCCUAUUGUUUGUGGAAUGGGUGAUACCUACACUAUGGCAGAACAUAUGGAAGCCUUCCACCCAUUCUAACUAUAUUCUCAACUAAUGGCAACAUAGCUUUUCAUUGCAAAGAGAACCUAAGAAAACCUUAGUCUGGCCUUAUUAGAGGGAGUUAGAAACUUGGUCAACAGUCUCUUGAGAUGCUCACUUUUAGUUCCAUGAGGGAGGCUAAACUACAAGGAAAAGGAACAUCCCAGCAGACACUGAGCAAUAAGGAAAUUAGCCCCAUUAUGCCCAUAUAUAACUGUUUUUUGGUUUAUUCAUUAUCAACUCUCACUCAAAAACACUCAAAAAUGGUUUGAAUCUGUGUCCCCACACAAAUCUCAUGUUCAAUUGCAAUCCUCAAGAUGGGGCCUGG